AAUAAAGACUAGGGGUGCCAAUCCGUUGGCUGAGAAAAAGGUAAAACUUUUACCCUUGAACCUGAUCUGGGUUACACCAGCGUAGGAAAGUCGUCGAUCAAAUGC
RNAcentral lists this non-coding RNA (105 nucleotides) under Anaerobacillus isosaccharinicus. Its description in RNAcentral is "Anaerobacillus sp. NB2006 TPP riboswitch aptamer (THI element)". It matches the Rfam family "TPP riboswitch aptamer (THI element)". From Rfam's summary of the family: Vitamin B(1) in its active form thiamin pyrophosphate (TPP) is an essential coenzyme that is synthesised by coupling of pyrimidine and thiazole moieties in bacteria. The previously detected thiamin-regulatory element, thi box was extended, resulting in a new, highly conserved RNA secondary structure, the THI element, which is widely distributed in eubacteria and also occurs in some archaea. Lineage: Bacteria; Bacillati; Bacillota; Bacilli; Caryophanales; Bacillaceae. RNAcentral also lists the same sequence under 1 other name. The record is from Rfam by way of RNAcentral.